Molecule: non-coding RNA, 214 nt
Filed under: Blastochloris viridis
Lineage: Bacteria; Pseudomonadati; Pseudomonadota; Alphaproteobacteria; Hyphomicrobiales; Blastochloridaceae
Source: RNAcentral
UUGGCUACGUUGAGAUGUGGUUCCCGCUCCGGCGACUCCGGACGGGAUGAAAAGGGAACGCGGUGCGUCGCGCUUGCGCGGCAAAUCCGAGGCUGCCCCCGCAACUGUAAGCGGUGAAGAUCGCCGAGAACGACCACUGGCCCGGACGGGCUGGGAAGGUUCGGCGACCUGAUGACCCGUGAGCCAGGAGACCUGCCACACCCGCUCAUACGCG